AACGAACGCUGGCGGCAUGCCUAACACAUGCAAGUCGAACGAGACCUUCGGGUCUAGUGGCGCACGGGUGCGUAACGCGUGGGAAUCUGCCCUUCGGUUGGGAAUAACUGAGAGAAAUUUCAGCUAAUACCUUAUAAUGUCUUCGGACCAAAGAUUUAUCGCCGAGGGAUGAGCCCGCGUAGGAUUAGGUAGUUGGUGGGGUAAUGGCCUACCAAGCCGACGAUCCUUAGCUGGUCUGAGAGGGUGAUCAGCCACACUGGGACUGAGACACGGCCCAGACUCCUACGGGAGGCAGCAGUGGGGAAUAUUGGACAAUGGGCGAAAGCCUGAUCCAGCAAUGCCGCGUGAGUGAUGAAGGCCUUAGGGUUGUAAAGCUCUUUUACCCGGGAUGAUAAUGACAGUACCGGGAGAAUAAGCUCCGGCUAACUCCGUG
Molecule: ribosomal RNA, 433 nt
Filed under: uncultured bacterium
Lineage: Bacteria
Description: partial 16S ribosomal RNA
Rfam family: Bacterial small subunit ribosomal RNA
Source: RNAcentral